Molecule: ribosomal RNA, 376 nt
Filed under: uncultured bacterium
Lineage: Bacteria
Description: bacterial SSU rRNA
Rfam family: Bacterial small subunit ribosomal RNA
Source: RNAcentral
UACGGAGGGGGCCAGCGUUGUUCGGAAUUAUUGGGCGUAAAGGGCGCGUAGGCGGCCGGAUAAGUCUGAUGUGAAAUCCCCCGGCUCAACCGGGGAACUGCAUUUGAAACUGUUCGGCUCGAGUCCGGGAGAGGGUAGUGGAAUUCCCAGUGUAGCGGUGAAAUGCGUAGAUAUUGGGAGGAACACCGGUGGCGAAGGCGGCUACCUGGACCGGUACUGACGCUGAUGCGCGAAAGCUAGGGUAGCAAACAGGAUUAGAUACCCUGGUAGUCCUAGCUGUAAACGAUGGAUGCUUGGUGUAGCGGGUAUCGACCCCUGCUGUGCCGAAGCUAACGCAUUAAGCAUCCCGCCUGGGGAGUACGGUCGCAAGGCUGAA